RNAcentral lists this ribosomal RNA (451 nucleotides) under uncultured bacterium. RNAcentral describes it as "partial 16S ribosomal RNA". It matches the Rfam family "Bacterial small subunit ribosomal RNA", at positions 354 to 796 of the family's 1533-position model. The record is from RNAcentral.
GUGGGGAAUAUUGGACAAUGGGGGGAACCCUGAUCCAGCCAUGCCGCGUGUGUGAAGAAGGCCUUUUGGUUGUAAAGCACUUUAAGCGAGGAGGAGGCUACCGAGAUUAAUACUCUUGGAUAGUGGACGUUACUCGCAGAAUAAGCACCGGCUAACUCUGUGCCAGCAGCCGCGGUAAUACAGAGGGUGCAAGCGUUAAUCGGAUUUACUGGGCGUAAAGCGCUCGUAGGUGGCCAAUUAAGUCAAAUGUGAAAUCCCCGAGCUUAACUUGGGAAUUGCAUUCGAUACUGGUGGGCUAGAGUAUGGGGGAGGAUGGUAGAAUUCCAGGUGUAGCGGUGAAAUGCGUAGAGAUCUGGAGGAAUACCGAUGGCGAAGGCAGCCAUCUGGCCUAAUACUGACACUGAGGUGCGAAAGCAUGGGGAGCAAACAGGAUUAGAAACCCUUGUAGUCC